UACGUAGGGGGCAAGCGUUGUCCGGAUUUACUGGGCGUAAAGAGCGCGCAGGCGGUCGUACAAGUCGCGUGUGAAAGCCCCCGGCUCAACUGGGGAGGGUCACGCGAUACUGUUCGACUCGAAGGCAGGAGAGGGAAGUGGAAUUCCCGGUGUAGUGGUGAAAUGCGCAGAUAUCGGGAGGAACACCAAUGGCGAAGGCAGCUCGCUGGGACGUUACUGACGCUGAGACGCGAAAGCGUGGGGAGCAAACAGG
This 253-nucleotide ribosomal RNA is filed under the name uncultured bacterium. Its description in RNAcentral is "partial 16S ribosomal RNA". It matches the Rfam family "Bacterial small subunit ribosomal RNA", at positions 524 to 776 of the family's 1533-position model. The record is from RNAcentral.